UUUUCUUCACCAAAUUAACCAUAAAAGUUUCACCAUUUUUUCACAAAAGCAUAAAAUAUUCUAGCUCAUAUAUAUGUAGAGUUGAGCUGAAAUAUUAUCGGUAGCAAACGAGCUUCAUUGUCACCCAUUUUUUUCAAUACUGGAGCCUUCGAAUCGAUGAUCGAUACCGUUGAAAAUGAUCUAUAACACUUGAAGUAUAUAGAAAUUAAGUUUCAUACUUUUUCGAUAUUGUUCUCUUAUCUAUCAAGUCGACGUAAAAAUGAACAGCUGAAAAAUGAAUAUCCUCUAAAAAGUGAUGAUAGGUAUUUUGUAAUCAAGACCGAGAGUAUAGAUCUUGUUCUAAAUAGUUUAAAAUUUUUUUUAACUAAAAUUCAAUUGAUUUAAAUAAUUCUACACUGUCAAACGAGAAAAUGCCUCGUAUCUACCAUUAAAAUUAAAAAUUUUGCGGGUAGCGUGCUACCUAUCUCUCAAAAAAAAAUAAAAAUAAAAAUUUUGCACUCUCUCUCUCUCUCUCUCUCUCUCUCUCUCUCUCUCUAUAUAUAUAUAUAUAUAUAUAUAUAUAUGAGUCCGACUAUACUACUCUUGAGUAUAGUCCUUUUUGUACUAAUAAGUUUUUGGCAGUUAGAUAUGCACUUGUCAUCAUUUUCACCCGUUAGAUCACAUACUAUUCAACCAACCAUCCACUCAACUCUAAGGGACCACUAACAUUCUAACUGGGGACCGCACAUCCCUUCAUCCAAUGGUCGAAAAUUUAUGAGUACAAAUAGGUCUAUACUCAUAAUUAAGAGUAUAGUAGCUCUACUAUAUAUAUAUAUAUAUAUAUAUAAGUCAAUUGGGUUUGGAGAUAUAUAUUUAAGGGGAAACUUCAAAUACCCCCCCUGUGGUUUCGCAUUUUCUUACUUUAGUACCCUGUGGUUUAAAGUGUAUCAAAUUAGUACCAUGUGGUUUCACACUUUCUCACUUUACUACCCUGUGGUUUCAAGUGUAUCAAGUUAAUUAGUACCCUGUGGUUUCAUUUUUGUAUCAAGUUAGUACCCUGUGGUUUCAAUUUUUUUUUUUUAUUAUCUAUUUCGGGUAUAUAAUUUAACAAAAUAUUAAACCAUAGGGUACUAAAGUGAGAAAGUGUGAAACCACAGGGUACUAACUUGAUACACUUGAAACCACAAGGUACUAAAGUUAGAAU
Molecule: long non-coding RNA, 1183 nt
Filed under: Ananas comosus (pineapple)
Lineage: Eukaryota; Viridiplantae; Streptophyta; Magnoliopsida; Poales; Bromeliaceae
Description: long non-coding RNA (ACOM_LNC004026)
Source: RNAcentral